AUGAUUUCCUGGUGGAGCUACACUAUCGUGGCUGUGGAUGAACAUGUACUAUCUUGGACUUUACUACAAUCCUUUGGAUUUUAUCUGGCUGUUGGGCAAUCCAUCCAGACUUGCUGUGGACCAGUGAAGACCAAAAUUACAACACUGAGGUACAUCAACAAUUUAUGCCAAUCCUACUUCUUUCAUAUUCAUUUUAGCUCAAAGAAUCAGAGAAAACAGGCUUUCUCACAGCCCUGUCCCAAAGUUGUCCUAGUAAAUCAUUUCAUUAAAGUAAAUCAUUGCAUGCACAGAUAGCCAGUAUACACAGAUCUUUCUUUAAAUUUCAAGGUUUAUAUCUUUCAGAUACUCAUCUUAGGAGACAUUUAAAAGAAUUCAUUUCAUGAUUCUCUCACAUACAAGCAAAACAUAGCAAGAUAGUAUAUGGGUCAAUAAAGACGUCCUGGGUGUCCUUACCUAUAACAACUUGUAAGUAGGUGAAGCAUAGUACCUUUUCUCAUAGAAGCAUCUACUCCUGGCCCCCCGUUAUGUUUAAGUGCAAUGCCUAGUUUGCAGCUCCUUUUGCAGAGCAUGUUGCUGUGGUGGCAGUUAGGGAAAAGGGAGAGGGAAACCAAAGGUACAGAACAUUUGCCUUCAGACAGAAUUUAUUACUAGAUUUAAAAUUGUGUGAAAAGCCCCCACAUGCAAGAGCUCAGAAGAUAUAAGGCUUUUGCAUAUCUGUGUGUAGAGUAUGCACUCGAUAAGUGUCUGUUGUUCGUCAACAAAAUUAACAAAGGCAACAUUAUCCAAUGCCAAGAGUGUGCUAAAAAUGUUCCUUUAAACAAAUCCAUAAAGGAACUGCUAGAGAAAAAUGAAAUGCUAAAAUAAAUGCAAUUAAAAAAAAAGGUAGACAAAAACUCCUAAAGGAUGGAUUGGAAGAUCAUACCAAACCUGUCAUGGAAAUCAAUCUACAUGAAAUCAAAGUGUGAAAAUGUUUAAUAUCAUUGAUUUGGGACUAUUAAAGGUAGCAUAGCAAUUGCUUAGGAUUGUUGAGGCUUCUAACAAACUCGAACCAACAAAAAUUAUAGGUAACCCACAUUAAAAACCACAGGCUCAUCCCUAGAAUUUUGUCAAGACCAAAGGCAUGUUUCCUAUAAGGAUUUACUAAUGGUGCACUUGAUAAUACAUAUGGUUAGAAGAAUAAAAAUAUGUUAGCAUAAAGCAAAAUAGAAAAGCAAAGCAAAACACCCUCCACAAAUAGAAUAAGUCAGAUUUGAGGUUGUCACUAUAAAUAUUCAAGACAAUUUCCUCCUUGGUUCUAUUUCAUAUUUAAAAAAUAAGGCAUCACACAACAUUUAUGCACCCCCACACCCCAAAUUUCUAAAGUAAUAUUUUGGGUAUUUUUGGUUCAGUAAGUCUAAAACUGUUUUACUCCCUUCCCUUUUAGUAUUAGCAACUAUGUGCAAUUUCAGAGAUACUUCAUCCUUAUGUUUCUUAUUCAUUUGCAAUUAAAAUGAUUCAAAAAGUAACUUUUGACGUUUUUAGAAUUUUUCCCCACGAAGAAAGGAAGGUCAUGCUUUGCCAAGAAGGUAUGAACUUGAAUAUUCAAAGGUUUAAGUUAGGUUUAAAAUUUCAACCACAAGAACAUUCACUGAACUCUCAACUCAGAGAAGUAAAUUCUCAAAUUCUCUGUUUCUUAGCUGCUAAAUUCCCAGGGUCAUGACAGGCAUCUUAACCAAUAAAUUCAAGCCUCUCUAAAGGUGAGAAAUGGCUGAAUUUUGUGGAAGACUAGGAAGCUAUGUUCUAGAGAGGUCCAUCUCUAAUCUUGGGGCUAUGAGAAGAGACAGGAUUAGACUUGAAGAACAGACCAAAGCACAAAAACAUAGCCUCUCAAAACUCACUCAUACCACCUGUACAUCUGAAUUCUGACAGAUAUUAAGAUCCAGGUUCAUAUGCAUUCCAAAGCCAGUGGUGCAUUCUGGAAAGCCAACUGUGCCCUCAACAGACUAAGAUUCUACAGCAAGUUAUCAAAAGCUUGGUUCAGUCAUGUUUUUGUACAAUACUCAGGCUCGGUUCCAUUGAAGCCAACACUAGAUUCAUCUUAUACUAUGUGAAUAAAAGUGAAGAUCAAGUUGAUCUCCAGAGAGUUUCUGACUCUAUUUUUCAUGAGAAAAACCAGUAGGAAGUGCCUUUCUGAGAAAGGGUCAGAUGGACUUCUACCUUUAAGUUCAGAGCUGAGCUACAGCAGGAGAGUCUUCAGGCAUCUACACCUUGCCCUUGUACAUGACAUUUCCUUGAUUUUUCCAGGGUAGCAGAAGGCACAUAAAUGGCCUGUUGCCCUGGAAACUGCAAGGUAGCCUGCCACAGUAUUUUCUUGGCCUGUGUGGGGAGAUGGACAAACCCUACUUGACUGCCGUCAUUAUUAAAGGCAGAAGGAGAAAAUAGUUACAGUUAAGUGCUUCACAAAAUGCCCUACUGUUUAUACCUACUUCUACGCUCCUAGUUGCUUUUAAGGGCCAGGUUUAGGACAAAGUCUAUCUUUAUUUUAUGCAUAGCAGCAACCAUCAUAGACAAACUAGAGAGGGCAAGAAGUGUGGUCAAAAGGACACUGGAUUCAAAGUUGUGAGGUUUGGUUUUAGCCACAAACCAGUUUUGUGACCUUUAGCCAGUCACGUAAGUUAAGCCAUUCCAAGUAUUCUCAUUUGAAAAAAAAAAAAAAUAUAUAUAUAUAUAUACCUGG
RNAcentral lists this long non-coding RNA (2716 nucleotides) under Canis lupus familiaris (dog). Its description in RNAcentral is "lncRNA (ENSCAFG00030009181.1)". The record is from RNAcentral. Lineage: Eukaryota; Metazoa; Chordata; Mammalia; Carnivora; Canidae.